AUUGAACGCUGGCGGCAGGCCUAACACAUGCAAGUCGAGCGAGCGGCGGACGGGUGAGUAAGGUCUGGGAAACUGCCUGAUGGAGGGGGAUAAAUACUGGGAACGGUAGCUAAAAACGCCAUCCAUCAGAUGUGCCCAGAUGGGAUUAGCGAGUAGGUGGGGGAAUGGCUAACCUAGGCGACGAUCCCGAGCUGGCCUGAGAGGAUGACCAGCCACACUGGAACUGAGACACGGCCCAGACUCCUACGGGAGGCAGCAGUGGGGAAUAUUGCACAAUGGGCGAAAGCCUGAUCGAGCCAUGCCGCGUGUAUGAAGAAGGCCUUCGGGUUGUAAAGCACUUUCAGCGGGGAGGCGUUACCCGCAGAAGAAGCACCGGCUAACUACGUGCCAGCAGCCGCGGUAAUUC
This 406-nucleotide ribosomal RNA is filed under the name uncultured bacterium. Its description in RNAcentral is "partial 16S ribosomal RNA". It matches the Rfam family "Bacterial small subunit ribosomal RNA", at positions 29 to 526 of the family's 1533-position model. The record is from RNAcentral.